ACAGGGGCCGCAGUGACGGGACAGCUCCCACAGGAUCACCUAGAGACCCCUUGCAGGACUAGUCAGCGGCCUGGCUUUUCUACCUAUAUCUCUUUCCUUGUUGUUUCCAUAACCUCAUAAGAGAGUGACUGGGGAUCUGUGACAUGCAGCCCAGGGCCGUUUUGUUGGACAAGGAUGUCUCCAACUUCCAACCCCUUAUUAUUCCCUUUUCCAAUUUUUCCUUCUAGGUUUUUUUUUUCUCCAGUUCUUUUCCUAGAGUUCGACCUCCUCAGGACCUUGGGUUUUACCUACUAAAGGAAUAUCUUGAACAUUCUCAGUGCUAAGUGGUGGUGGGAGUGGAGUGGUGGUCUGGAGUUUACUUGUGGGAUAAUAAACUACUUGUCUGUUUAUUUAGGACUACUGCUAGUCUUCUGUCAUAGGAUAUGAAAAUUACCCACAAUUUCCUUUGUAUAAUCCCAGUGGUAUCCAACCCCACACUCUGCAAAGCAAAUGAAAAGGAAACUCAGUGUAACACAAUUGAGCGGAGACUAAGGCAUACACAUAUUUUCUAUUAAGCUAAAUGAACUGCAUGCACUCUUAUAAUUGCACUUCCCUUGGUUUUCUUUGCUUCCUUGCUACUUUCCAUUUUCCUUCCUUUUUCAUGUUUUCUUUUAUUUCAUUGUUUAUAAUUCUAGACAUAAUAAUGCCCCCUUUUAAAUUACUAAGAAGAGGAAAAUCUCACAUAAUAGAUCCCAUUGUGCUUCUGGUUUUGUUAUAGGGGAGUCCAAAUGAAAAAGAUCAACUUGAAAAACAGAAAAUUUGUA
Molecule: long non-coding RNA, 803 nt
Filed under: Marmota monax (woodchuck)
Lineage: Eukaryota; Metazoa; Chordata; Mammalia; Rodentia; Sciuridae
Source: RNAcentral